This 374-nucleotide ribosomal RNA is filed under the name uncultured organism. RNAcentral describes it as "partial 16S ribosomal RNA". It matches the Rfam family "Bacterial small subunit ribosomal RNA", at positions 527 to 896 of the family's 1533-position model. The record is from RNAcentral.
GUAGGUGGCAAGCGUUGUCCGGAAUUAUUGGGCGUAGAGCGCGCGCAGGCGGGUCCUUUAAGUCUGAUGUGAAAGCCCACGGGCUCAACCGUGGAGGGUCAUUGGAAACUGGGGGACUUGAGUACAGAAGAGGAAAGCGGAAUUCCAAGUGUAGCGGUGAAAUGCGUAGAGAUUUGGAGGAACACCAGUGGCGAAGGCGGCUUUCUGGUCUGUAACUGACGCUGAGGCGCGAAAGCGUGGGGAGCAAACAGGAUUAGAUACCCUGGUAGUCCACGCCGUAAACGAUGAGUGCUAAGUGUUAGGGGGUUUCCGCCCCUUAGUGCUGCAGCUAACGCAUUAAGCACUCCGCCUGGGGAGUACGGCCGCAAAGGCUG